RNAcentral lists this transfer RNA (76 nucleotides) under Polyangiaceae bacterium. RNAcentral describes it as "tRNA-Gly". It matches the Rfam family "tRNA". From Rfam's summary of the family: Transfer RNA (tRNA) molecules are approximately 80 nucleotides in length. Their secondary structure includes four short double-helical elements and three loops (D, anti-codon, and T loops). The record is from RNAcentral. Lineage: Bacteria; Pseudomonadati; Myxococcota; Polyangiales; Polyangiaceae.
GCGGGAGUAGCUCAGUUGGUAGAGCGUCAGCCUUCCAAGCUGAACGUCGUGAGUUCGAACCUCAUCUCCCGCUCCA